RNAcentral lists this long non-coding RNA (594 nucleotides) under Phoenix dactylifera (date palm). RNAcentral describes it as "long non-coding RNA (PDAC_LNC021002)". Lineage: Eukaryota; Viridiplantae; Streptophyta; Magnoliopsida; Arecales; Arecaceae. The record is from RNAcentral.
UCGUUGGUCGGCCAAGGCUGGCGCAAGCCGAGGCGACCGGUCGGGGCUUCAGGCUAGUCUGCUCCCGGGAUGAUCAUCGGGUUAGCCUGGCAUCCGAGGGCCGAGCCUCGGGACAUUCCGCUCGUUGGUCGGCCAAGGCUGGCGCAAGCCGAGGCGACCGGUCGGGGCUUCAGGCUAGUCUGCUCCCGGGAUGAUCAUCGGGUUAGCCUGGCAUCCGAGGGCCGAGCCUCGGGACAUUCCGCUCGCUGGUCGUGCGCUUGUCGCUCGCUGCCCGACGGGAUUUCUCCGUGGCCAGCCGCGAUCAUGUUUCUCCUUUUCUCUAAGCGUUGCCUGGGGGAACACGAGAAGGGCAUUAAAUGCUAAUUAAUGCGUUACCUGGAAAAUCGGAUCGCCAGCUGCUGCUUGCGAGGAGUGUUAGUUGAGCGGCCGCGAUACGCGGGUUCUUCGAGGAGGAUACGGCCUGGGCGCGAGCGGAGAUAUGUGGACCUAGGGGUACAUGACACCCGGAUUGUCCUGCACAAAGAAUGCGGUUUAAGGAGAAUGACGCUUAGGAAAUCGCGGGGAGAUACGCCUCAGCAGCCGGAACGGCUCCGG